GCGACAAGCACCGCCGCUUCUCAACUGCAAGGCCGCCGGCACCUCAAGCUCAUCAACGUCGAUUUGACAAUCCAAAGGUUCGAAUCAAGGUGAUCGCUAAAUCGAGGAAAGGGAUUAUUAUCGGAAAUUGAGGAAUUACGCUCAAGUCAAUAAGGGGAUAAUUCUGCAGGUGCUGAUUAGUGGUGGUUGAGUGACGACUACAGAGGCUCGAAGUCGUUCGGAUCCUACUUGUGGUGAGAUUUUAGCAUGGAUUCGUGUGUGAGGAUUUGUGUAUUUUCAUUUGUGAGAUUUGUGAGUGAUUUGUGAGAAUUAUUACAUUUCCAUUUUGUGUAUGGAUUAUAAUUUGGGUUGUAAUAAUUGGUUGUCUGAGUUGUAUUGAGAACUCAGAAAUGAUCCGCUGCGACAUUAAAAUGAUUUCGGUUUAUUUGAGAUUAUUUUUGUGUUUAACGAUUCUAAGAUUUUGAGUUUUGAAGCUCGA
Long non-coding RNA from Argentina anserina (silverweed cinquefoil), 478 nucleotides. RefSeq lists it as uncharacterized. NCBI's taxonomy places the organism in Eukaryota, Viridiplantae, Streptophyta, Magnoliopsida, Rosales, Rosaceae. The record is from RefSeq and is a predicted model, not a curated record. The transcript has 3 exons.